Molecule: long non-coding RNA, 1363 nt
Filed under: Pogona vitticeps (central bearded dragon)
Lineage: Eukaryota; Metazoa; Chordata; Lepidosauria; Squamata; Agamidae
Description: lncRNA (ENSPVIG00000016920.1)
Source: RNAcentral
CAAGACGGAGCACUGGACAUCUCAGCUCGACUCACUGUAUUCAAAAAAGGAGAGAGGUCCCGGCGGAUGGCCUCCACUUUAGAUUUUAAAAAUGCUGCAAAUUGGUCCGGUGUAAAACUAGGGGGAGGCCUAUCACCCGGGCCAAUUCCGGAUAGGUCACGUACUAUACGGAAUAAUUCCGCCUGCUGAUUGGAUGCCUCGCUUAUCCGGUUCGCGAGGUAUGUUCGACUGGCAGCCUUUACCUUGGCCUGGUAAAGGUUAGUAGCGACCUUAACAGCUAUAUGAUUAAAAACCGUCGGGUCCUUUCUCCAUUUGCGCUCUAGCCGUCUCCUGACCCGCUUCGACGUCCGGAGAUCCUGGUUAAACCAGGGCGCUGGGCGGUCUCUGCGGCGGAGAGGGCGUACCGCCUCAUAGCGCUGAAAGCACUCGCUGGGUGGUUGACAAUUUAAUCAUGUAGGGUGUCCCUGGCCCCCACCCCCAGCAAGCGAGGUCCUCGAUUUACCCACCUUGGAAGGAUGGGAGGCUGAGUGAACCUUGAGCUGGCUCCCUGGGAUUGAACCCUGGGUCGUGAGCAGAGUUUUCACCGCAGGACGCGCAGUUGAACCCUUGUGCCACGAAGCUCAUUAUCUCGGAGCCAGGAGACUUUGGAUCCGCUGGAAACGUGCAUGAUCCCUGUUUGGCGCAAGCCCAGGAAAACAGCAGCCAAGUGCCCUGGGUGAACGUCCCGGCCGGAUCAGCACAGCCAGGCCUCCCCCCUUUUUGGUAGCAGCAGCUGCAUUUGCUAUUCAGAGCAACAGCUGCGAGCCGAAGCAAAGCAGCAAGGGACAGCUCCAUUUGCCUAUGAGGAAAUAUCUCAUGAAGGGCCUCAGGUUGGCUCAUAAAAAUAACCCUCCCGUCCAGCCCGUGGCUGCAUUUGGAGAGAGGCUGUGGCCCGGAGAGCAGACGCGUGGGCGCCUCUCCCAAUUAAAAGUGGCACCGGAUUUGACAAGUCUAUCAUCCCUUUUAUUCGUAAUCCUUGAGGUUUACGAAUUAACGUGGCUUCUUAAAGCUGUUUGGGUCCCUUCAUCGUGGCUCGGAGAGAACAAGCCGUCUUGCAGAGGACUUCUUCGUGGAAAUAGGUCCCCCAAAGCAAUUCCUCCCUCUCUGUUCUUCAGACGUCCGCUUGGAGUAACCGGAUGUUUGCUUUCUGGGACUGAAUGGGACUAGAAAGAAAAAAACAGGAGUCUGAAUGAACAUCAACGCCUCUGUCUUAGCAAACGCAUGACUCCCCGUCUCACGGACGAGGGAAAAGGACGUUGCCUGCCGACAGGUUCCCCUCUGCGUUCCGGAUCGUGUCAAAAGACCUCUUGUUUCGGAAGGGGUU